RNAcentral lists this ribosomal RNA (546 nucleotides) under Streptococcus sp. oral taxon G63. RNAcentral's name for it is "bacterial SSU rRNA". It matches the Rfam family "Bacterial small subunit ribosomal RNA", at positions 373 to 920 of the family's 1533-position model. The record is from RNAcentral. Lineage: Bacteria; Bacillati; Bacillota; Bacilli; Lactobacillales; Streptococcaceae.
GGACGGAAGUGGACCGAGCAACGCCGCGUGAGUGAAGAAGGUGUUCGGAGCGUAAAGCUCUGUUGUAAGAGAAGAACGAGUGUGAGAGUGGAAAGUUCACACUGUGACGGUAUCUUACCAGAAAGGGACGGCUAACUACGUGCCAGCAGCCGCGGUAAUACGUAGGUCCCGAGCGUUGUCCGGAUUUAUUGGGCGUAAAGCGAGCGCAGGCGGUUAGAUAAGUCUGAAGUUAAAGGCUGUGGCUUAACCAUAGUACGCUUUGGAAACUGUUUAACUUGAGUGCAAGAGGGGAGAGUGGAAUUCCAUGUGUAGCGGUGAAAUGCGUAGAUAUAUGGAGGAACACCGGUGGCGAAAGCGGCUCUCUGGCUUGUAACUGACGCUGAGGCUCGAAAGCGUGGGGAGCAAACAGGAUUAGAUACCCUGGGUAGUACACGCCGUAAACGAUGAGUGCUAGGUGUUAGACCCUUCCCCGGGUUUAGUGCCGCAGCUACGCAUUAAGCACUCGCCUGGGAGUACGACGCAGGUGAACUCAAGGAUGACGGGGCC